This 615-nucleotide long non-coding RNA is filed under the name Bemisia tabaci. RNAcentral describes it as "lncRNA ENSSSA2NGG008780". Lineage: Eukaryota; Metazoa; Arthropoda; Insecta; Hemiptera; Aleyrodidae. The record is from RNAcentral.
UUUCUCCUUAAAGCAUGGCUCUUUUGCAUGGAUCUUUUUUUCCAGAUAACACAUUCAUCUUAUUUUAAUGCUCUGUUUCUUUGAAUUUUGUCUUGCAGAGUGGAGAAACGAUGAGAGACAUUCUCGAUCGUCGCAGAAUACUGGCACAACUCGUAGGAAAGCACCUCAGCCUCCGACUCCAACUGAACCACAGGCCCCCUUUGCCAGCACGACAAAUAAUUCUCGGUCGCCCUCUUCUGAGCAAUUACAGGAUGGCUCCAAUAAAACAUCGAAAGUUGAAGCACCAAAACCAGCAGAAAAACCAGCUGCUGCUGCCCCAAAACCCAAACCGCCGCCAGUCAAGAAACAAUAUUCCUCAGAUAGCGAGGACAGUGAAGAGGACACUCGCGACCAAGAAGGUCGCCUCAUCACCAAAGGUGGACAAGAGAUUAUGCGUUCCAGUGCUGGUAACGUGAAAAGAACAAAGAAGAAAUAGAAGCAGAUCCAGAGCAAGAGGAUGAAUUCGGCUACACUUUAAGUAAGUUCCAGAAUUUACAAUUUCUAACCUUCUCUCAGUGAUUUACGUGUGUUUUUGUUUAUGUCUCUUCUUAUAUGUUACCCAUCAAUCAAGGAUGC